Molecule: long non-coding RNA, 4407 nt
Organism: Cyprinus carpio carpio
Lineage: Eukaryota; Metazoa; Chordata; Actinopteri; Cypriniformes; Cyprinidae
Source: Ensembl
AUGCUUAAAGAGAGAGAGCGAGAGACGGGACAAAAGGGUUAUAUUGAAAUAUGCACCAAUAAAAUUUGUGGCACAAAGCACGAAGUCAUCAUUCAAAUGCUGCAAGAGAACGGUGAUCGGCUUCAUACUCAUCCUCAUCCUCGCACCAGGAUAAUAUGUGAAUCUAACAGCCUCCAUGUCAGACACGGACUUCAGGUCACAGAGUUUAGGCUCUGUGAGUUCAAGAAAACACUUCAACAAUGCCGUAGCAAAUGGCUGUUACAUUAUCAGACCCCAAGGAGGCUUUUCUGUGUAAACCUGCUGACCCCGCGCAGGCACGACAUGCCCAUCUGACUGAAAAAAACCCCCGGAGGGCCUGGAUGUGGAGGCCCAAAUCUCGCUUUCUCUCACCUUCCUAAAACACUUCCAGUUGCUGGCUCUCCUCUCUCUGCCGUGGCUCUGACAUCGGUGUUGAAUCUCCUGACUUUGUCUUGAUUGUAUUAAAUCUGCAAAACACAAAUUAAAAUCAAUGUAAAAGAAAUACUUCAGCUUUCUGUGGCUUCUUUGUUUUCUCAGCUUACAAGGAUGAGUAAAGGCAGGUUAACGGGGACAGUGGGCCGAAAGCCAUGGGGGAAGGGCUUUUUUCAUGCAGGCUAUAGCAAUACUAUCCAUUUCAAAUUUCCUGCUUCAUAAUCAUCAUCUCCUUUGAGGGUAUUUAAAGAAGCAUUGUAAUACAGAACAUGUUUGGAUUUGAGAACAUGUGUCAAGACAAAUAUUUUAGAUGGUUAGAAGCAUUAUUCAACAAAAGUUGCAACCAAUUUCAACCAAGUUUAAGAUUUGAAUAAGUUUAUUUUAUUUAUUUAUUUUAAUUUUAUUAAUGAUUAACUAAAUGAAACAUUUUUACAAUAAUUUAUUUGAAUAUAUGCAGAAAGAAUAUGUAAGAAUUUGCAAUUACAAAAGAAAAUUGUCAAUUUACAAUAGUUAUCAAUAGCUUAUUUUCUAAAUGUAAUCAUGCUGAUGGACCACAUCCACAGAGGCUUUAAAAUGCAUUCAGACAUUUAAAAACUGAUGAAUGUCUUUCUGUUUUGCAAAACAUUUCACAAAAAGUUUGUUAGGUUGCUUGGACUCUUUCAUCCCUCAAUGUUCAGUAUACCUAAGCAAUUAUGAUUUUUAAGACAGCAUAUUUAUUUAAGCGAUAAUGAGGAUAAUGGGCUGUUUUGCGUUUGUGCUGACUCGAGUUUUCAAUCUUUGUUUUAGUUUAAUGUGUUCUGUUUGUUUGUGGUCAAUUCCAGGGCACUUUUGUUUUCUUUCAGCAGGGGUAAUAAACCCAUAAUGCUGUCGGCCACAUUGAUUUAGUUUUAAUAUCCUCCGCUUCUCAUUUUUCCUUGAUGAUGCUUUGAUCCUCAGCAACUGGUUUGUUUUGUGAAUACUGAAGAGCCCUGCGUAUGUUAGCAGGAAUCUACAGCACUCUGUAUCUAUUUCUAAUUUUUUAUCGCUUUUAUUAGCCACUUUAAUAGCAAGGAUAUUUUCAGUGUGUUGCUAUAGAAACUAUAUAACAGUUAUCUAUAUAACAGUAAUCUGUGCAAUUUUUCAACUGGGUUUUUUUAAGCAUAUUUGUGAGUGGAAGAAUAUACUUUAUGUCAGUUUAGAGGAAAACGGUGGUCAACUAGUUUUUAAAAGUCUCAGAUCUCUAUAAACAAAGCUUGUCUGUCUGUAAAAGUUUCAGUACAACUUUAACUGUUUUUUCCCCCUUUUCUCUUCUGCAGUACAUAACAAAUCAUCAAAGCCGGGAUUAAAAUUUCGUGAAGGAGCAGCUUUGACUCCUGGAAGACUUAAGCGUAUUAGCUUUAAAACCAAGAUGGGAGUUUCAAGUGAUGUAUGGCAGACUUCAAAGAUGUUUUAAUCUGUCAGUGGGCAUGCUCUUGCACAGGCUAUUUAUAUUAGGACACAGUGUUUCUUCUGCCUGCAAUCAAUGGCUGCCUGCUUCUUCGGCUAGACCCAGCCUUAUGUUGAUCUUAACCUGUUAUUAAACAGCUGCACUUCCUCUAGAUUGUUUCCUCUGGUUUCUUUUAGAGUCGUCUUUAGAGGCACGAUGUGUACUGAUUAUGAAUACUGACUUGUCAUGUAAGUUUGAUAAAGAUUUUAUGAUUUAAUGCUCACAACUGCACUUCUAUUCAUGCUCCCGAAAUGUAGUUGGACACUUAAGUCACACUUAAAAAAUGUAAAUUUUAUUUGCAUAAUAUCAGUAUAUCAAACCAAGUGUCAUUUAUUUUACAGAAAAACAGCACAAACACUUUUUGAGCAAAACAUUUCAGAAAAAGAGUUUUGUUGGGUUGUUUGGACACUUUCUGUUUAGUGUAACAUAAGUAACGUUAGUGUAACAUGUUUAUUGUUUAUUGGAUGAAUUACAGCUGUGUUUACUCUGAUUGGACACAUGUAGUUGAUAUGAUGUCUAACAGGUUCGGCAGUAUCUUGUGGUGUGACAUGCUAAAAUUUAUCUAAAGAUAUUUUAAAGCUAUUUGUUUUUCCACAUAUGCUAUGUGUUUUGUAUAGCCUUAUUAAUUGAAAGACUACAAACACUAUGAGAAUGAAAAAUGAUAUGAUUAGUAAGCCAUGGUAACUAAUGUUUUUACAUUAAAUCAUCAACUUUUUUAUAAGUUAUAUGAAGUUCAACUUUUUAAGUCGGUUUAAUGUAAUUGAAGUUGAAAUGACUUGUUCAACCAAGUUCAUUAUUCAAAGAAAUGUAAGGCAUUAACUAAACUUAAGUUUUAAAAUUUAAAAAUGGGGUUUUGUUGCACAGCAGAACAAUUUAAAAUAAUUAACUAUCGAAGGAAAUAUGUGUUUAAAAAGUUGUGAAAUUAAAAUAAAUGGUGACCAUAAGACUUGAAAAACAUUUUCCCAAAUGUUUCCCAAAAACAUUUAUUUAAACCUGAGACUGAGCCUGUGUAAAUAUCCACACCUGUGAAAUCUUCAUACAUCCACUAAAAUGAGUUGGUAUUAACUGAAAUAAUAUGCAAUAACUUAACUAGCAGAAUUUAUUAUGUACACCAAAAAAUAAUUUCUGAGGACAGUUUUUUAGGUUUAUUUCUUGCAGCAAAUUUGAACAUUCCUGCAAAUAUACAAUCUGUCUGAUACAUGUGUAAAUUUGUUAAACUGACAAGAAAAUGCUAAUUUCAGGAUUUACUCUUCCAGGCUCAAACAGCAUCCAGAACAGAGUAAAAUCACCCGAAUGCAGGCGCUAUAUCAUCAUGACGACAUGGAAGAUUGAUUUAUCCCAGAAUAACCUGGAUAAAAGGAUAUAAAGACAAAACUUAGAAGAGACUAUUUUUAAUUCAAGUGUGUUAAUUGUAGUACUGUUCUUAUUGUUACUUAAAACUACUGUUCACUAGUGAUAAAGCUUUUAUAUUUUACUUAAAAUCUGUUUUUUAUUACAAAUUUUAUAUGAGCCCAAGUAUUUGAACAUUAAAGGUUUCAUAAUUUAGUGUCACAUACUUUUUGUUUUACUCUUUUUAAAUCCUACAAUACUCUGUUUAUUCACAUAUAAAUUAAAUAUGUAUAUUUAUUAAAUAUGUAUAAAUUCCAGUAUAUGAACUUUUAUACCCCAUUGUAUAAUGAAAAUUUAAGAAUGUAUUUCUUGUUUUGAUCCUGUGCUUUUUCCCUGUUUUUCUUUCUCCUCGUCACUUUGUCGGCUGUGUCUUUUUAUGGAUUGGCAAACACUGUUCAUAUUAAGCAAACUGUUUCUAGAUGUGCGCACACACACACACAUGAUUGAAUUUACCCUUUUCUAAACACGUUUCUGUUGGGAAUUUUAAAAUAUUGCCAUGUGCAAACCCUACAGGUACUCUGAAAGGAGAGCAAUGUUCUCUGAGAACAUGGCCAUGCCUGUGGUGAGGGUUUUUUUCCACUUUGAGAUUAUUCAUCUGUUUGUUUUGAGCUGUUCAUUUGUCAUCAGCAAAGACAAACCAUCUCAAUAUUGAAACGUUUCUCAUUUAAGCACUAGAGUAAUAUACUGCUAAAUCAGUGUGAAAAGCACACCGUGAUUCUGCCGCUCUUUUUUACCUGAAAGUGUUACAAACUGUUGGAAGUCACGCCUGCAUGAUUUUUGGAGCUGAAUGUCGCUGUGUGUUUGUCAAAAGUGAAAUGUGAGAGUGUGACUUCAUUCAGGAAGAAUCUGAAUGUGUUUUCUGUGCUUGACUAUAUAGCAGAUAAAAGCUCUUUCCGGUUCGAGAAAUAGGUUCUCUGGAAUUGGAUUCCAAGCCAAGCGACACUUUCCUUUUAAACAAGAAAAUAUGCAGGACAUGCAUUACCAUGUUGAAUUAAGACUGCCAAUUUUGAACAGACUUGGAGCCCUGCCACAUCUACAAGAUGAAUUCAUCACUUUACAGUAAAACACGAGGCUCUGGAUCAGACAUUUGACGUAACACAGCC